RNAcentral lists this ribosomal RNA (419 nucleotides) under uncultured Prevotella sp. RNAcentral describes it as "bacterial SSU rRNA". It matches the Rfam family "Bacterial small subunit ribosomal RNA", at positions 358 to 774 of the family's 1533-position model. The record is from RNAcentral. Lineage: Bacteria; Pseudomonadati; Bacteroidota; Bacteroidia; Bacteroidales; Prevotellaceae.
GGAAUAUUGGUCAAUGGACGAGAGUCUGAACCAGCCAAGUAGCGUGCAGGAUGACGGCCCUAUGGGUUGUAAACUGCUUUUAUACAGGGAUAAAGUGGGGAACGUGUUCCCUUUUGUAGGUACUGUAUGAAUAAGGACCGGCUAAUUCCGUGCCAGCAGCCGCGGUAAUACGGAAGGUCCGGGCGUUAUCCGGAUUUAUUGGGUUUAAAGGGAGCGCAGGCUGAAGAUUAAGCGUGACGUGAAAUGUCCCGGCUCAACCGUGGAACUGCGUCGCGAACUGGUUUUCUUGAGUGAGUACGACGUCAGCGGAAUUCGUGGUGUAGCGGUGAAAUGCUUAGAUAUCACGAAGAACCCCGAUUGCGAAGGCAGCUGACGAGUCCUUUACUGACGCUAAAGCUCGAAGGUGCGGGUAUCGAACA